This 778-nucleotide ribosomal RNA is filed under the name uncultured bacterium. RNAcentral's name for it is "bacterial SSU rRNA". It matches the Rfam family "Bacterial small subunit ribosomal RNA", at positions 28 to 806 of the family's 1533-position model. The record is from RNAcentral.
GAUGACCUCUGGCGGCGUGCUUAACACAUGCAAGUCGAGCGAAGCGAUUUAAGUGAAGUUUUCGGAUGGAUCUUAAAUUGACUGAGCGGCGGACGGGUGAGUAACGCGUGGAUAACCUGCCUCACACGGGGGGAUAACAGUUAGAAAUGACUGCUAAUACCGCAUAAGCGCACGGUGCCGCAUGGUACAGUGUGAAAAACUCCGGUGGUGUGAGAUGGAUCCGCGUCUGAUUAGGUAGUUGGUGAGGUAACGGCCCACCAAGCCGACGAUCAGUAGCCGACCUGAGAGGGUGACCGGCCACAUUGGGACUGAGACACGGCCCAAACUCCUACGGGAGGCAGCAGUGGGGAAUAUUGCACAACGGGCGAAAGCCUGAUGCAGCAACGCCGCGUGAGUGAAGAAGUAUCUCGGUAUGUAAAGCUCUAUCAGCAGGGAAGAAAAUGACGGUACCUGACUAAGAAGCCCCGGCUAACUACGUGCCAGCAGCCGCGGUAAUACGUAGGGGGCAAGCGUUAUCCGGAUUUACUGGGUGUAAAGGGAGCGCAGACGGCACUGCAAGUCUGAAGUGAAAGCCCGGGGCUCAACCCCGGGACUGCUUUGGAAACUGUAGAGCUAGAGUGCUGGAGAGGCAAGCGGAAUUCCUAGUGUAGCGGUGAAAUGCGUAGAUAUUAGGAAGAACACCAGUGGCGAAGGCGGCUUGCUGGACAGUAACUGACGUUCAGGCUCGAAAGCGUGGGGAGCAAACAGGAUUAGAUACCCUGGUAGUCCACGCCGUAAA